RNAcentral lists this long non-coding RNA (1025 nucleotides) under Strongylocentrotus purpuratus (purple sea urchin). Its description in RNAcentral is "uncharacterized LOC115919839". The record is from RNAcentral. Lineage: Eukaryota; Metazoa; Echinodermata; Echinoidea; Camarodonta; Strongylocentrotidae.
GUUUAAAUACGUCAUAGUUCGGCCUAACUUCGCGUGACGUCACUUUUUAGUUAAAUCGACUGUCCGCGGAGAGUGAACGGUUCUUUUCAAUUGAUGUAUGGGGAUGAAAAAAGAAGGCCUCUCCCAAGCUACGGUGUCCCGCCUUGUGAAGUCCAUCUCAAUAGCCAAUGCCAGGAGAUCGGACCAAUACAUCUCAAUUCCUUCAACAAGAGAGGCAGUCCUGCAGAGUGCAGACCCAACAUGAAUUUUAUAAUUACUGCCAUUUCCCUGGCGUUAAUAUGGUCGGUGCUAUUGAUUGCACCCACAUAGGCGUCUUCAAGCCAGUUGGCCCAACACCAGUUAUUUCCUGAACAGGAAAAAUAGAUACUCCAUUUUUCUUGGAAAGUCUGCUGGAUGAUGUUCUUCUUCAGUAAAAUAAAUGAAGGCAAAUUCCCUGAUAAUUGAGACAAAUUCAGAGAGAGGAAGGAGAACUACUGAGCUGCUGAAUUUCUGACAGACAUACUUGCAAGGACUAUGAAGUUCUACUUAGCCUCCUCAAUGAACCAGACUCUAUCUGCUGUAACUGUGACUGCAUGGGAAUCAAAACCUUUGUAUUAUGAUCCUCAUAACAUGAAGCUAACAAACAAGCAACCAUUGAUAAAAAGCCUGAUAUGUCCUUGUUGUGUGUGUGAACCACAAAGCAACCAUCGCUCAUAAGGAUGUUUUUAUAUACAUCAGAUGUUCAUUGUUUCACUGGAAAAAUUGUGAUUUUUGAGUUAUUUAAGAAAUCAUGUUUUAUAAUGUGUUUUAUAAUAUAGUGCAAGUCAUGAUAUAACAGAUUCCCUGCAAAAGAAAGACGGCUCAAAGGAAGACUAUGCUUUGUUUUUAAAAAUGGGAAAAAGUAAUGUAACAAAUGCAUAACUUUGAAUUCUAAUAAUUUCAAAUAGCAGAUUAUGAGGCUAUUGGAGCUUAAUAUUUGACCUUCAAUUUUAUAAUCGUAUUCAUCGUGAAUUACAAUCUUUUCUGUUUUAAGAAAAAUAAAUAAA